RNAcentral lists this unclassified non-coding RNA (213 nucleotides) under Actinomucor elegans. RNAcentral describes it as "partial internal transcribed spacer 2". The record is from RNAcentral. Lineage: Eukaryota; Fungi; Mucoromycota; Mucoromycetes; Mucorales; Mucoraceae.
AAACAACUCUUCCCUUAAGAUUUUUUUCUUAAGGGGACAUUGAGGGUAUCUGGCUUAGAAGUAAAAUCUCUAGCCCGGAGACGCUUUAAAUGACUAAAGGCCUGCAAGCCAAAGUUUGAUUGCGCCUGAACUUUUUCUUAAUUUCAAGCGAAAGCUCUUGCGAACUAGAACUUUAUUAUUGCCUUGGGGGCCUCCCAAAGAAAACAUUCAACA